This 4460-nucleotide ribosomal RNA is filed under the name Triticum aestivum (bread wheat). RNAcentral describes it as "partial small subunit ribosomal RNA". Lineage: Eukaryota; Viridiplantae; Streptophyta; Magnoliopsida; Poales; Poaceae. The record is from RNAcentral.
ACCCGUGCGCCCGGUCGUGCUGGGCUGGGCAAAUAAUAAUAAAAAAGGUUAAAAAAAAUAUAUGUACUGGAUUUAAUCUCAGGUUAUCCGGAUUUUAUGUUGGGUUAUUCGAUUUUUUUUCACUGGGUCACACGAUUUGCACGGUGCCCGGCGGGGUAAAUUAUUAGUCCGGCACAGACCCGGUUCUUCGUCGCGGCCACCCGGCCGUGCCGUGCCGGCAGAUAAUUUGCACGGUGCUGCCCGGCACGGCAAACCGGUCCAGACGGGGUUGGGGUAGGGAGGGGCAGAAGGAGGAGGUCAGGAGGAAACCGGACGGGAAAUAUUUUCGGUUGUUGAUGGGGCACCGUGUGGCAACGAAGGAGAGGGAAAGGUAAAGGAAGGAACAGGAAAGGAGGUUAGCUUAACCAAGGGGUUUAGAAUCCCAAUCCCAAAGCAGAUAAGGCAUGGAAGGAGGGUAUAAUCGCGCAGACCAGGGACUCGAACGAAACGCGCACCCUACUACCCGUGACGGCACCUGGAUCCUGCCUCCGUCCCGCUGUCGGCGAAGAUGCUGCGACGGUCCCGAGCUGCUCCCGUGGUAGUGCCGGAAGGGUUCAGCUCCACGCGUCGGCGGCGGCAAUGGGUCCUCUUCCGCGGCCUCCUCGGGAGGGCCGACGGUCGCAGGGGGCAUCCUCAACGUCCGUUGGAGUUCUCCAAGCACCGUCGGCAAUGCGACAGGCACGGCCGCCUCAUGGGGAGGCUCUCUCCUCUCACCUCCCCAACGCCGCACCUACGGUUGGCCCUCUCCGGGAUGAAGCAAGAACUGCUGGAUACCCUCCGCAUAUUCCUCACCUCACGCAUACCACGGCCCCACGGCGAGCAAGAACUGCCCACGCUGCCCCAGCACGUCAUGAUACACGGAAUGAACAGGCGGUAGCUCGAGAUACCUCUGAGUAGUCAGGACGUCAGUAGAAGGUUGGGUUCUGUAUACUACCUGCUGUCACUACUUCUAAAGGCACUAAGGUCGUCACUACCAUCGUCACUAAUACUUGUACAUUCCCGGUUUGUGAAACGAGUCCUUCCGAAGAGUUCCCUACAACCACUUAGACCUCAAUGAGUACCGGCGAACGAGAAAGUCAUGGAGCUCAAACUAAGAGGCAAAACGGCACUUGGAAAGUGACUAUUCUAAAGAUCGGAAAGUCGAUCUAAAGGUCCUAACUCCUGGGAAUCCUCAACACUAAAUAGUCGCGCCUCAACCUACUCGUAGCGAACCAUGGGUUAAAUAGCAUAGGGAUGACCUGGUUGUAAUUUUCUAAAUCUACGGACGAAAGAGUGAAAGGUAGUCGAAAGUUUAACGGGCGUUCCUCUAUUAGACACCCGAGGACUAUCGUGUGGUUUGUAUGGUGAGGGUCAAAAACCAAACCGAAGGAUGUUCAAAUCGUUGAGUCAGACCAGGAGUUGACUACCACUAACCUUUGACCGAUCGACGAAUUCCGUUCGACGACGGCUGACCGACUCUCUGUCGGCACGGCCGGUAGGUCUAAUAGUCAAGAAACAGAGGGCACCACGUAUGUUGUCCAUCACUGUGGUUUAGACACGAAAGGCGUCUCGAGUACUUUCUUACAGGCUUCUCACAGAACACUUGUACUAAUUCAAGACUCACUGACUGACCAACUGACGAAGGUUUAGAGUACGUACAAUGGUGUUCUAAACUUCGAACCUACCACUCUUCAUUGGACAGGACGAAACAUUUAACGUGAUAAUCCAUCUAAAGCUGGCAGAUACAAAAAUAUGUACAUCAGUCAACCAGACACCCUUCGACCAGACUCUUACUUUUUUUCCUUUUUUCUUUUCUCUUCUUUACUUUUUUCCACCACUUUUUCGAACGUGAAAUACAUUAUGUUUAUCAUACCCCUGUUUAAAACUACUUUUGUGGGGAGUAACAGGCAUGUGUAUAGUUCACAACGACCGUAACCUCAUACACAACUUCUUUUGAACAUGAGGGAGGGUUUCAUUCACAGAGUUAAAACACGAUUUCAAUCAUGUUUCAACUCUGUGAAUAAAACUCUGUCUCCCUCAUCAAUCGUACAACAGUACCACAUGUACAUUUGUACACUUGACGAGACACACUAUCUAACACAAGGAUCAGGUACUAUAAUGGAACCAGAGUUUGGUGCUCAUAGAUACAUUCGAUUCAAUUACAGGACCAUUGACCUUCUAAUGAUUUUAGUCCGAUUUCGAUUUCGAUGUUCGUGAGUUUUACUCACAAAUUUUCCAUCUCUGUUUAUCUCUGGGUUGCUACUUCUCAUUUUUGACAGCUUUUAAGCAUAGGUUCGUACGCGAGUCUACGAGUCAAUAGUGGAGGGUAGACAAGCGAAACUGUUCCCGUGGCACAGAUCAUCAAAAUCAUAAGGACAGUUAUUCACUCAUACGGGGUGGUGUGUUAUUGAUGUGACUAUCGUGUGAUAACUAACCUCACUAAUUAGAGAUACAUAAACGUAAAACGUCGUAUGUAGGUUGGCUACGACCUUUUUCUCCAGCGCCGUCAAAGGGGAAGAGGAGAGAAGGUGGCGGGGAAAACUCUCAGCGAGUAGGGGCCGACCGGGCUAGACUACGGAGCAGGCAGCCGCUGCGACCGACCGCUACCGACGACCUUUUUCUCCAGCGCCGUCAAAGGGGAAGAGGAGAGAAGGUGGCGGGGGAAAACUCUCAGUGAGUAGGGGCCGGCCGGGCUAGACCACGGAGCAGGCAGCCGCUACGACCGACCGCUACCGACUCCUCUCCAGGGACCAAGAAGGUAUACAUAUAAUCUCAUCGUCAUCUGAAUCAAUCUGAACCGAAAUACGGCACCACACCGGAGUACGGUCAGCCCUAUGGACGACGAUCUGGAACACUCGUCUCAGACCACCACCGACACUAAGUGUGAAUAUAAACUCGAAUUUCAGACUCACAUAUGGCUUAAUCCGAAAAGGAAGCUAGCCAAAUACAGUCUCAAGUGUGAUGUUGUGUGUAAAAGAAAACUCAGAAGACACUCAAUGAAAACUUGGCUAUGUGGUUUAGUCCGCAAUGUGGCGAGUUUGUUUGAUCUUCUUUUAGCAGUUACCUAAAUAGUGUUAUAAUAUUUUUAUGUUUAUUUACAUAUGUGUUAAAAAAUUGUUAUUUACAAUAGUUUCUAACUACAUAAAUGGAGAGGGUUCUAUCAUUGUACAAGAUCUUCUACACAAAACAACGUCAUCAUGGAUUUACCACUUAACGUACAAGAUCUUAUAUCCGAAAACGUAUAACGUUAGUUAAAUAAAUAAAUACCUUAACUCAAAGACCAACAUUGAACAAGCUUGUAAACAAAUUUCCCUUGUUUUAUGAGGUAUACAAACAGAAGUUAAUUACCUAUUAUUAUUAUGUGAACGAAAACACUCUACCAUAGAAUUCGUAUUUAUUAUUUCCGUAAGUUCACAAUAAUAGUAAACAUUACGUCUCGUGUUAUUUCUCAAAUUACAAAAACAUCGGGGAAGAAAUAAAACACUUAGUCUAUACUAUCCAGAAAGAUAAUAUGCCAGCUAAAAAAUAGCUUUAUGUAACGUUCACUUCCCCUAAAAUUUAGUAAAAACACACAAUAACCGAUAGAAAAGACAAGUAUAAUUUAAGCUGUACGUUGGUCAUGUUUAAAAUGUUUCGGGUACCGUUGCGUGCCCGACAGUUGAUCACAUAUAAUCUCAUCGUCAUCUGAAUCAAUCUGAACCGAAAUACGGCACCACACCGGAGUACGGUCAGCCCUAUGGACGACGAUCUGGAACACUCGUCUCAGACCACCACCGGCAGCAACAGAGGAUGGAGCGGAGGUACCACCUCCCCUGACCACCUGUAGCCUAGACCGUCAUAGGGAGGGUUAUUCGAGUGCAGACGGGUUGCAGAUCCUCGACGCCACCGAGGAAGGAGACAAAGAACGGCAGCACCUGAGCACCACUACCGUCGUCUUUCCACCUCUCUAGAGCGGAGCGGAGGAGAGCACCACGACCCGGAGCGGCCUAGGCUCGAAGGCCGCAUCCACCACAAUAGGGGCGUAGACCCUUUCCCGAAGGCCAUAGAGCAACCUUCGACCACUACCCCUAGGAUUCGAGUAAGCUACCACCUAGACCUCCUCGAUGCCGUAGCCAGAGGAGGUUGUUAGGUAGCUAAGGAGACCGGCUUCCCGCUGGUAGGAACAAGGAGGGUCGGUGCUACGGUCUUCCCUCCGUCACGACACGGUUUAACCUCAGACACCGAACGAUGUCUCCAGAGCGCCCUGGUUCACCAGGCAGGGGUCGCGGCCGCUACUAACAUAGGUGACGCCGCGUCGCACCUGGGCUAGCGUAAAAGUCAAAAUACAAACCCCAGGAAAGAUAUUCUACGCCCCUGAACAAAAAUAAAAGUCAAAGAAAUCACAGGAACAACAUUCGACAUUACAGAGAAGCAGUAUCAGUUACUUCACAACCCAGGAAGAC